Molecule: ribosomal RNA, 628 nt
Filed under: Serratia sp. (in: enterobacteria)
Lineage: Bacteria; Pseudomonadati; Pseudomonadota; Gammaproteobacteria; Enterobacterales; Yersiniaceae
Description: bacterial SSU rRNA
Rfam family: Bacterial small subunit ribosomal RNA
Source: RNAcentral
GGACCGUUACGGGCCUCACACCAUCGGAUGUGCCCAGAUGGGAUUAGCUAGUAGGUGAGGUAAUGGCUCACCUAGGCGACGAUCCCUAGCUGGUCUGAGAGGAUGACCAGCCACACUGGAACUGAGACACGGUCCAGACUCCUACGGGAGGCAGCAGUGGGGAAUAUUGCACAAUGGGCGCAAGCCUGAUGCAGCCAUGCCGCGUGUGUGAAGAAGGCCUUCGGGUUGUAAAGCACUUUCAGCGAGGAGGAAGGGUUCGGUGUUAAUAGCACNGUUCAUUGACGUUACUCGCAGAAGAAGCACCGGCUAACUCCGUGCCAGCAGCCGCGGUAAUACGGAGGGUGCAAGCGUUAAUCGGAAUUACUGGGCGUAAAGCGCACGCAGGCGGUUUGUUAAGUCAGAUGUGAAAUCCCCGAGCUUAACUUGGGAACUGCAUUUGAAACUGGCAAGCUAGAGUCUUGUAGAGGGGGGUAGAAUUCCAGGUGUAGCGGUGAAAUGCGUANAGAUCUGGAGGAAUACCGGUGGCGAAGGCGGCCCCCUGGACAAAGACUGACGCUCAGGUGCGAAAAGCGUGGGGGAGCAAACAGGAUUANAUACCCUGGUAGUCCACGCUGUAAACGAUGUCCAA